Long non-coding RNA from Trichomycterus rosablanca, 450 nucleotides. RefSeq lists it as uncharacterized. The record is from RefSeq and is a predicted model, not a curated record. Lineage: Eukaryota; Metazoa; Chordata; Actinopteri; Siluriformes; Trichomycteridae. The transcript is spliced from 3 exons.
UCAGAUAGCGCGUGGAGGAAGGAAUGAAUGAAGAGGAUGAUGAUGAUGAUGGAGAGAGAAAGAGACAGACAGAUAGAUGGAUGGAUAUAGAUGGAGACUGAGAUAGGUAAAGAUAAAGUGGUGUAUCUAAGCCCGUAUGUUGAAGCAGCUGUGAGACUGACAACUCAACUUCAUUAUAACUCAGACAGAGAGACCUGAGGGUUUGGAGAAUGAUGGGAUUUGGCAGUUCAUGUUUGGAGCCACAGGCGAGCCCUGAGCCACUGCAGAUGAUAGUUUUAAUUGCUUUCAAUCUUUCAGCCACUGGCACCAAGCCCUGGUGUGUGUGUGUGUUUGUGUGUGUGUGUGUGUGUGUGUGUUUGGUGAAGAAAACCUGUGCGUAUCUGUGAUGAUGUCUGAUAGAACACAGUGUUUAUUCUACUAAGGAAUAAAAUAUCAGAUUGUAGAGAAUAA